RNAcentral lists this ribosomal RNA (1385 nucleotides) under metagenome. RNAcentral's name for it is "bacterial LSU rRNA". It matches the Rfam family "Bacterial large subunit ribosomal RNA", at positions 1536 to 2925 of the family's 2925-position model. The record is from RNAcentral.
AAAAAUCCGCCUCUCAUAUAAGGCUGAGACACGAUGCGGAUAAAAAGUGGGUGAUCCUAUGCUGCCAAGAAAAGCAUCGACGCGAGGUUCUAGCUGCCCGUACCCCAAACCGACUCAGGUGGUCAGGUAGAGAAUACUAAGGAGAUCGAGAGAAUCGUGGUUAAGGAACUCGGCAAAAUGCCCCCGUAACUUCGGGAGAAGGGGGGCCAUCGACGUAUUAGGACUUGCUCCGAAAGCGUUUGGUGGCCGCAGAGACUAGUGGGUAGCGACUGUUUACUAAAAACACAGGUCCGUGCCAAGUCGCAAGACGAUGUAUACGGACUGACGCCUCCCCGGUGCUGGAAGGUUAAGAGGAGGGGUUAGCGUAAGCGAAGCUCUGAAUUUAAGCCCCAGUAAACGGCGGUGGUAACUAUAACCAUCCUAAGGUAGCGGAAUUCCUUGUCGGGUAAGUUCCGACCUGCACGAAUGGCGUAACGACUGCCCAACUGUCUCAACCGCGAACUCGGCGAAAUUGCAAUACGAGUAAAGAUGCUCGUUACGCGCAGCAGGACGGAAAGACCCCGUGACCUUUACUACAGCUUGGUAUUGGUGUUCGGUGUGGCUUGUGUAGGAUAGGUGGGAGACUUUGAAGCUUGGACGCUAGUUCAGGUGGAGUCAUUGUUGAAAUACCACUCUGGUCACUCUGAAUAUCUAACUUCGAACCGUAAUCCGGUUCAGGGACAGUGCCUGGUGGGUAGUUUAACUGGGGCGGUUGCCUCCUAAAGAGUAACGGAGGCGCCCAAAGGUUCCCUCAAUCUGGUUGGCAAUCAGAUGGCGAGUGUAAGUGCACAAGGGAGCCUGACUGUGAGACUGACAAGUCGAGCAGGGACGAAAGUCGGGACUAGUGAUCCGGCAGUGGCUUGUGGAAGCGCUGUCGCUCAACGGAUAAAAGGUACCUCGGGGAUAACAGGCUGAUCUUGCCCAAGAGUCCAUAUCGACGGCAUGGUUUGGCACCUCGAUGUCGGCUCGUCGCGUCCUGGGGCUGGAGUAGGUCCCAAGGGUUGGGCUGUUCGCCCAUUAAAGCGGUACGCGAGCUGGGUUUAGAACGUCGUGAGACAGUUCGGUCCCUAUCCGCUGCGCGCGCAGGAAAUUUGAGAGGAUCUGACCCUAGUACGAGAGGACCGGGUUGGACGAACCUCUGGUGUGUCAGUUGUUCCGCCAGGAGCACCGCUGAUUAGCUACGUUCGGGAUGGAUAACCGCUGAAAGCAUCUAAGCGGGAAGCCGGCCUCAAGGUGAGAUUUCCAUGCCUUCGGGCGAGAGGCUCCCAGCCAGACUACUGGGUUGAUAGGCCGGAUGUGGAAGCGUGGUAACACGUGAAGCUGACCGGUACUAAUAAGCCGAUGAU